CGUGUUCCUGCAUUGGGUGAAGGAACGGCAUCGCAGAGUCGAGCUUACUCGCGGCAAUGCGGUGGAAGUGGCAUACCUGUUGCUCGCAAGCCUCUACGCCGUUGUCAUCCUGCUCAAGGGCCGCAUCGCGCUCGUCGAUCUUGCGGUCCUAGUCGGGAUCUACGCAGCAUACGUCUGGCGCGUGCGUCACGUGGUGAAACCUGACGGUCCCGACGAAGAUGAGGAGCCCGGACCGGCCGCGGCGCUGCAACAGCUUCCAUUGCGUGUUCA
RNAcentral lists this unclassified non-coding RNA (270 nucleotides) under Hevea brasiliensis (rubber tree). The record is from RNAcentral. Lineage: Eukaryota; Viridiplantae; Streptophyta; Magnoliopsida; Malpighiales; Euphorbiaceae.